Molecule: ribosomal RNA, 309 nt
Filed under: Triticum aestivum (bread wheat)
Lineage: Eukaryota; Viridiplantae; Streptophyta; Magnoliopsida; Poales; Poaceae
Description: partial small subunit ribosomal RNA
Source: RNAcentral
AUGUUCUCGUCGCACUCAGCGAGCCGCAUCAACAACAUCCGCACCUCCCUCAUCAACACGCAUAAGGGUAAUCCCUCGGUUGCCUCUUACUUUUCUGCUAUGCGAGGAUAUGCAGAUGAACUAGCCGCGGCAGGCAAGGCCAUCCAGGAUGACGAACUAGUCUCCUACAUCAUCCACAGACUCGACGCCGAUUACCAGCCUCUGGUGUCUGCUCUCGACGCUCGAGUCACCCCCGUCACACUCGAUGAACUCUACACCAUGCUCUCAAACUUCGACCAGCGUGUGGCUCAUUACCACGGGUCUGGCGGC